Molecule: unclassified non-coding RNA, 5290 nt
Filed under: Octopus sinensis (East Asian common octopus)
Lineage: Eukaryota; Metazoa; Mollusca; Cephalopoda; Octopoda; Octopodidae
Description: mAP kinase-activating death domain protein, transcript variant X3
Source: RNAcentral
AUGUUUCUUUUUCCUCUAUCGAUAUGAUCGAACGGCCGAUAGAUGGCAGUGCAAUACUGUGACGUAACUACUUAGCAUACCAACCUGACAGACGACGUAGCCAUCCAUACAUUGCAUUGACAGACUGACAGUCACUGGAGGAGAGAGCAGCAACAAUAAACUCGUCAGCCUUUCGCACAUUAAUGAAGUUAGUUGUCACAAUUAUGGAUUUAUAUUCCACCAGUUUAAUGCUAGUUGGUUUAUGUCAUUCCACUGAAAUGAAUGAAAACAACUACAAUUGAAGUUCUUCUGGAAAAGAUGCUUGCUUACUAUCUACCUAUUACAUAAUAACCAUUGUGCUAUCACUAGCACAUACCUAUAAUUCGAAAGUAUACACCGUUCACACUUACAAUGUGUGAAUACAUGAAAAAAUACUUUUCACCACGACUGUUGGAUUAUAUUGUGAUUGUGGGAACUCGCAACCCAUAUCAUAAUAAUAAUGUAGCACAAACACCUGAGCUGCUUCGUCGUUAUCCAGUUGAAGACCACAAAGAUUUCCCACUUCCAAAUGAUGUUAUCUUCUUCUGUCAACCAGAAGGUUGCAUCAGUGAAGGGCCCAGAAGAACUAGCCUGCGAGAAACUACACCUUUUGUAUUUACAUUAACUGAAAAAGAUUCUGGAAUUGUUCGAUAUGGAAUAUGUGUAAACUUUUUCCGUCCUUUUGAACGGAAAACUCAUUCAAGUGAAAAGUCUCGUGAUCGUUAUGAUCAUUAUGGAGAUCCCAAUAAAUUAGCACCCCAUCAUGGAGACACUGAUCACCCACAAAGAUCACCAAGGACUAGACGACGUCUAAAAACAGCCAGCCGGGUUAGGAAUAAUACCCUAACAUCACUAUGCAUUGUCAGCCAUCAUCCUUUCUUCUCUACAUUUCGAGAGUGUCUGCUUCUCUUACGAAAGUUAAUUGAUGCAUGUCAUGACAGAAGUUGUACACGCAGAAUUGGUGGCUCAAAAGGUUCCACAAGGGAUACAGUAUGGAGUGUUUUGACCGGACAAUGUACUGACAGUAUUCCUGGUUUGGUUCUUCAUGAAAUUCGAGAAAUAGAAAUCUGGAUGUUACGUCUGCUUAGUGCACCUGUACCGGUGCCAGCAAAAACCAGGGUAGAGGUACAAGUAUUACCGAAAGAUAUGGUUUCCUCUUCUCUUCUCUUUGCCUUACCUGAUCAUACUCGGUUUACAUUAGUAGAUUUUCCUCUCCAUCUGCCCUUAGAACUACUUGGUGUGGAAACCUGCCUCAGAGUGUUGACACUUAUAUUGCUAGAACAUAAGAUUGUUUUACAAUCCCGAGAUUAUAAUGCCCUUUCGAUGAGUGUCAUGGCCUUUGUGUCUAUGUUAUAUCCACUGGAAUAUAUGUUUCCUGUAAUUCCAUUACUUCCAACAUGUAUGAGUAGUGCAGAACAGCUGUUGUUGGUACCAACUCCUUAUAUUAUUGGAGUACCAUCAAGUUUCUUCUUGUACAAGGCAGGCUUCACGAUGCCUGAUGAUGUUUGGCUUGUAGAUUUGGAUUCUAACAAGAUCCAAGCUCCCACUGGAGCAGAAGAAUUGCCUUUACUGCCAGAUCACGAAGGAGGCAAAUUAAAAAAUCAUCUCAAACAGGCCCUUGCCAGUAUGAGCAUGACUCCUCAGCCUAUUAAAAACUUAGAUGCUUUAGCUCAAAGUCCUGAGCUACUAAAACGAAGAGAGAGCUUUGACUCAAACACAGGUUUCAAUCCUCUUAUAUACGGUAAUGAUGUUGAUUCAGUGGAUGUGGCAACACGUGUUGCAAUGGUCCGGUUCUUCAAUUCUCCAAAUAUUCUUGGAAACUUCAGUGAACACACUCGAACACUUCGCUUGUAUCCGCGUCCUGUGGUUGCAUUUCAGCUUUACAGCUUCCUGAAAUCGCGUCCAGUGAAAACUCACUUUACAGCAAAGCUUGCUCGUACUCAAGCAGUUGAAUUUUAUGCCGAAUGGUCUUUGUGUCCAUCUAAUGUGGUGUUCCUGCGUGUUCAAACUGCUGUCUAUGAUCCAUCUUUAAUUGGAGAUAAACCAAAAUGGUAUUCACAUCAACUUCAACCGGUGGAAUUUAAAGUUUAUGACAGUAAUUCUUCUCUCGGAGCAGCUUUAACAUCUGCAUCAGAAAUUCACAGUGAUGAUAAUCCAACUGACGAGAGUGGUAGUGACAGUGAUGGAGCAGACAGUACUAGUUCAUCAUACUCAUCACUAAGUGAUUUUGUUACUGACAUGGUCAACAGUGAAAUUGAUGGAGAUACACCAAUUUUUGUGCCUGAAAACCAAAUCCUGGCAGUUGACCACUCAAAAAUAUUCUCCCCUCCCAGCAAAUUACUUGUUCCUGAAACAAAUAUCAGCACAAAUGAAUCAAGCCUUACAACGCAUGAAAGUGAUGGGGAUUCUUCAGCAUCCUCUAGUCCAACUUACAGUCAAGAUAAUCAUCCUUCGUUUGCUGAAGAUCAAAAAGAAGUUGUGCCUGACGUUUUUCAAUAUGAUCCCCAAAAUACAUCAGUGGAAAGCAAACUAUCAAAUAGUUCUUCAAGAUCUGUAACUGGUGGAGGCAAGCCAGGUUAUGUACAGCCAUUGUCCUCAAGUGCAAGUUCACAAGCUCCUGUCGUUCCAUCACUGAAGUCAAAUACCAAUGAGAAAAGAAAUACACCCUAUUCACUACCCCUCUCUGAUAGAACACAGUCUUUGGAGUCUCCUGUUGGCCCUAGUCGCACUAGUGGUACUCCUAGUUAUUCAAGUCAGAAACCUGCUUUUGGUGCCAUCUCUACUGCUCACACAUCAGGAAAACGUCCUCUAAAAUUAAAGCAACUGUCUGAAUCUUCAGACAAAUCUCCUACUGCAUCAUCUAUAAUGUCCACUAUCAGUAGUGAAUUGAGUGGCUUAGCUCAGAGCACUAGUAGCACCUUAUCGGGAUUUCUGGGAGAACUGGCUGGGAAUAAUCGAUCUGUUAUGCCAAACUUCCACAGCAAACCGCAAAAUAAACCAUUUGCACCUUUAGGUAACCGAAGAGCACGAGUUGAGAAAUCUGGAUUAGUAAAACAAGCUACAAGCCAACGACCACGUGAGAUCACAAGGCAACAAUCUACUGAAUCCCGGCCUAAUUCUAAUAGUGAAAACCAAUCUUUCUUGAAAGAAAUUAUAAGUUCUGUUGUGGAAGGACAUGGCGUAAGUUGGUUGAAAAUCAAUCGCCUCAAGAAAUUAAUGGAAGAUGAAAAUUAUCGUAAUUUUGUUGUUAGUCGGCUGAACAAGAACCUAGAUAAAAAACUAACUGAUGACUCCCAGCAUAUUGAAGAUGUUUGUGUAAAUCGUCAAGUAUUUAAAGGCAUGUUGACUGUAUUGAGAGCUAUGGUCCAUGGUUUAGAAUAUACAUAUACAAACUAUGGACUUGGUGGUAUGGCUAGUGCAUUUAUGGUGCUCGAAAUAUUACACACACAUUAUUGGUUGAAAGAAGUUGGCAAUAACAGCAAUAAAAGUGAAGCUAGUGUCACACCUGAGAUUUCAUCCCCCUAUGGAAGCAGAGAAAGCCUUUCAUCGAAAGGUGAGGACUCACCCAAAAAUCCUGAGGCCAGAAGCUUGCAUGAGGAGCACAUGGUGGCUGCCCUUGGUCAUACCUACACAGGGUGGCUGCCUGAACGAGUUUCUCCCUCACAAAUGUAUUCCGACCAGUCCUCUUCUAGCGCCAGCACCGAGUCAGGUUCUCCAGUCAUUAUCAAUGGAGAAGAAUUUGAAAACAUAGAAAUUGCAUCAGUUGGUGAAACUACAAGUGAAGAUGCCUAUCGAGAUACUGAUGCUGGAGAAGCUGAAGAACAAUCAGAAAGUGAUAAAAGUCACAGUGCUGAUCAAACAAAUACAACUGACUCUGCUUCUGAGAAUGUCAAAUCUUGUGACAUUGUUGUGACUGGUGCUGAACCAGAUAAGCAGUCUGCAGAUACUGAAAGUGAUAUUCUUCAUGAUCUUGUACGCAAUAAAGAGUUACUUAAAGCUCGGAAGAAAAAUAAGGUUAACAGCAUUGAUUCAGAAGUCUCUGAUGGCAGCACAUUAGUAAGCAGUAGCUCUGAUAAUCAACCUGAGGAGGAACGGCGCCAGAAACCAAAGGUUAGCCAUCAUUUGGUUAGGAAUACUGUGUCAGAUAGUGAGAUGGAACUUUCUGGGAUGGUGAACUACCACAGACGUAGUCGAUCAUCAAGUAUCUGGAGUACUAAAAGUAAUUUAAGUGCUGGAUUUCGUUAUCAUGAUGGAAAGAUGAUUAAUACAUCCCCACUACCUAGUCCAGAGACAGGGAAAACAUAUCUUUUUGAAGGCUUAAUUGGUAAAGAACGCAGUCGUUUAUGGGAUUCAAUGCAAUUUUGGGAGGAUAUGUUUUUAGAUGCGGUUGCCCAGGAAAGAGAUAUUAUUGGCAUGGAUCAAGGACCAGGUGAAAUGAUGGAAAGGUACAAUUCACUUGGAGAUUCAGAAAAAAAACGUUUAGAACAUGAUGAAGAUAAAUUAUUGUCUGAUAUGUUAUAUAAUCAUAUUGGGUUUAUGGUAAUGAUGGAUGUAAAGAAACCAGAAAUCAAGAAAAAAAUUAGACGAUUGCUUGGUAAAUCUCACAUUGGCCUCCAAUACAGUCAAGAUGUCAAUAACCUUUUAGAUGAAGUUAAUAAAUUGAAUGGCAAUGAUAUUGAUCUGAAACCCAUGGGCAGCAGACUCAUGCAGAAACAGUCAUUCACUGUACAUUGGGGCAGUGACAAUACAGGGGAUAUGUUGUUUAUGGAGGUAUGCGAUGACUGCAUUAUCCUACGCAGUGUUACAGGAGCAAUAUGUGAUCGAUGGUGGUAUGAGAAGCUGGUCAACAUGACUUAUUGCCCAAAAACCAAAGUUUUAUGUCUCUGGCGAAAAUAUGGUGAACGCGUACAUCUUAAUCAGUUCUAUACUAAAAAGUGCCGGGAACUGUAUUUUUGUGUAAAAGAAACUAUGGACAAGGCUGCCGCUCGAAAUAAUGGUAAAGUUCCAGGACCUGACAUUGGUGGUGAAUUUCCUGUACAAGAUCUCAGGUCUGGACAAGGAGGGCUACUCCAGGUGUGCAUGGAUGGUAUUGGGUUUCUUCUAGCUAAUAGCAAGAACCAACAUAUUAAGAUUCUUUAUUGAGCUAUGUCGUGUCAAGAAAUGUUUCACACAGAAAGGAGGCAUAUUUGUACUAGAGGAGUUUGAUCCCAAAACUAGGCAAGUGAUUCCUCAUAAGUUUAAAUCCAGCAUGGCCAAUCAGAUGGUUUUAAUG